AAGUUUUCCCAAAAACAUUUAUUUAAGAAACUGUUCUUUCUCCAGUGUAUGUUCUUAGUGUCUUUGUCAAAAAUGAGUUGACUACAAGUGUGUGGAUUUAUUUCUGGCUUC
Molecule: long non-coding RNA, 111 nt
Organism: Sapajus apella (tufted capuchin)
Lineage: Eukaryota; Metazoa; Chordata; Mammalia; Primates; Cebidae
Exons: 3
Source: RefSeq, a predicted model, not a curated record